GGAGAGAUGGCCGAGCUGGCUGAAGGCGGCACCCUGCUAAGGUGUUGUACUCGUUAGGGUACCGAGGGUUCGAAUCCCUCUCUCUCCGCCA
Molecule: transfer RNA, 91 nt
Filed under: Magnetococcales bacterium
Lineage: Bacteria; Pseudomonadati; Pseudomonadota; Magnetococcia; Magnetococcales
Description: tRNA-Ser
Rfam family: tRNA
About the family: Transfer RNA (tRNA) molecules are approximately 80 nucleotides in length. Their secondary structure includes four short double-helical elements and three loops (D, anti-codon, and T loops).
Source: RNAcentral